This 512-nucleotide long non-coding RNA is filed under the name Rosa chinensis. Its description in RNAcentral is "sRNA RchiOBHm_Chr5g0064371". The record is from RNAcentral. Lineage: Eukaryota; Viridiplantae; Streptophyta; Magnoliopsida; Rosales; Rosaceae.
UCUCCGGCCACCAAAUUGGCGUCGAAGGGUUCUUGGAGUUUUCGGGAAAAAUUUCACCGGCCUAAUUGGAGCUCUUCCAGGGCGACGUACCGAGCUAUUGCUCGACGAAGGAACUCGUAUGCAUGGUCGCCUAAACAGUAUUUUUGCAGGCCAGUUUAGCUUGAGGUCGAGCGUACUUGGGGUUGAGGCAUAGCUGUCAUAGCUUCCGCAUUAUAAAAGCAUCGGUCAUUUAUCUUGCUUUCUAUUCUCUUGUUCGCCUGUAUAUUAGAUUGCUCUGAUAACCUAUGAGAUUAAUAUUCUUAAGUUUCAGAAUUGUUUGGUGAUAUGAGAGAUGUUGUGAUAUAGGGAGCAGGGUGGCUCCAGGAGAAUAAGGAUGGAUGAUUUAGAAGUGUAAUUGUUUUUCUACAGGUUUUGGGUUGUCCAUUUUUAGGGGAAGUUCUGUCAAAUUUUUGGUAGAAUUUCUUCUAAGGUGGGCCCCGCAGGGCCUCUUCGGAUUUCAGGGUGAAAUCCGG